GGAACGGAGCUGCUUAAAUACUGUUCUGGAUAGGCCGAACCUGACGUCCAGGAAUUCAGAAGAAAGGGCUUUCGGUCCCCAAUGCAAUUUGCUGCAAAAAGAGUUUUCUCAUGUCUUUUCCCGGGCUGUAUCUGUCAACAGGAAGUAUCCAAGAAAGAAAUAAAACACCUCCAUGAUAUUUCAUGAAAGGGGCCUUAUUAAAACCCGGGCUCCUCAUCCCCGCUGGUCUACGACGGCAAGCUGCUCGAUCCCUGGACCCCUUGAAUCUUCAGCCUGGUCUGCAACCCCACAACCAUCUGGGGCCGUACAUGGACGAGGUCAUCGGCCCUCCUGUAGGAAUCCCUGCAAGUCGUUGACAAAAGACGCCUCCGCGUCCCCCAUCGAUCCUCGGCUGCCGAUGAUUAGGCAAGCGAGUAAGAUGUCCGAGUAAACAAGGAGGAACCCCAUUCCUGCAUUAGGAGAGGAAGGACGGACAGACGGAGGAGUGAAUUAAAGUGUGCCUGUGCGUAUGUGCAUGUGUCUGUGCGCGCACACUGCAGGGAAAGUGAGGGAAUCAGUCAACGCGAGUGAUUCACCUAAACUUAUAUAAAGUCGGUCUCUAAAUAUAGAAACUGCAGGGCUUCUAGAGCUGUGCCAAGACGAUCGACCACAUUGAUACUGGAGUGGCCCCACCCUGCCCUGGUCCUUGGGAGGAAGGAGGGUCUGAGGAGAACUGCAGUGCAUGCUGGGAACUCACCACGACACAUGGUGGCUGUGACAGUGAUGGACAUCGGUAACUGUAUCCCUCUCUGUGGUCAAUGUCACUGCCUCCCUCUCAGACGGGUUAAUGCGGGGUGCCAAUCGGGGUGCAGGAAGGGAGCCCCGUCAGGAAACAUAAAAGAACGCAAUGUUAAGGAGGCCAUGAGUCCAUGUUGCAUUCUCUGUGCUAUAAUGUUUAUACCAUGGCUUUUAUGUUGAACUUAAUUCAGUCACGCCCUUUAUUUAAAGCUGCCUGGCUUGUGGGGGUCUGACACCUACAAAUCCAGCAAAAACGCAGCCACAGAUUGGGGGAGGGUUUGUAGAAUCUCUGCUGAUCUGGAGCUGUUGUACUGCGAGCAGGUGUGCAUGUCUCUGCCGCUCUGCUCUGCACUCCCUGGGCUCUGCUCGCUCACAGCUCUCCCGGCGGAGAGAAGCUGACAGCCUGGCGCAAGGAAAGGAGCUCGGCGCACAAGCUUCAUGAAACAUUACGGGCAGACAGGCCUGGUCCGCGGAAGAUCGAUACCGCCAAUUGUUGUAAGAGAAUUAUACUGUUAGCGGAAGAGCGACGAGCAUCUAUUUACUCACUCGUAUAAACCCAGCGGGGAAUUCUGAGUCCCGAUGCGUUCACCUAAAGGAAAAAGACUGUGCUGAAGAAUUGGGAAGUUAACAUGCAGAGCUAGACCCUAGCAGGAGAGUAAAAGUCGCCUGUCGGAACUACGGUGUGUGCAGCCAAGGUGAUCGUAGCGGUUAAGCGCUAUUUGAUAUCUGUCCGUUUUCUUACGCUGGAAAAACGUCUGACGGGCGAUCGAUGAUCUUCCAGGGAGCAGCCGACAGAAUCCGCAGGACCGGAAACCCAAACCCGAAAGGCGGCUCUUGACCCUGCGCCUUCUGAUCUUCCUGCGCUCAGGAAAAUUUCUGAUUAAAAUAUUUAUGAUCCACCUGUGUCGAAAGACAUUUAAAAAUGAUUUUUAUGCGCUGGGAGAGCUGUGAGAGCAAGCGGUGCCAUUUUCGAUGUAAUUCGAAAAAGAUCAGUAGAGCUGAUAUACAUGGCUACAAAUGUGAUAACGUAUUUAAUCCGGGGACUUUGUUAACAGAAACCUAUUAGAACUGAAUUUCAAGUGGCAAGGUCAGUUUUACAGGCGAUGCUCAUUUAGCUGUGAGAUGUCACAUUGCAUCAGUUUUACUCUUUUACAUCAACAGAAAGAUCAUCGACGCUUGGUGAUUCAACACUGCGGCCCUAAUUACGCCGUAGAUAGCAUUUAGGGUGCCUGUGGAAUGUUCUGGAAGGGAGGUUACAUUUGUGGGUCCUCCCCGCCGGGCUCUGUCGGUGACAGUCAUUCAGCUGGCUGCCUUUCCGUGCCCGAACACCCUGCUUCCCCCUUCCUUCUGAGUGUGUUCACACCUGCGGGUAUUUUUGACAGAUCUCUGCAUCCGAGACUCCUCUGCCCCCUUCCCAAGGUUACGAGGAACUCCUGCCAAAUUCUCACCCGCCACGUCUCCAGCGCAGCUCACGUGUGACCUUCUUCGCUGGAAUCGGACUCGAGCCAUUGAAACCAAAAAAGUUUGCGCCCAAAGCUAAUGAUGGCAGCGCUUUGGGGCACCCUACAUUUCUGGAGAUGUUAUGGCACAAUCUCACAGGCUACCCAGAAAGAGGUAAACGCCCCCAGCCGGCAGAUCCCCUGAGAGCGACCAGGAGGCUACAUUUUAACGGUGUGAAGUGUUUGUGCAUAUUAAUUGAAUCAUGUACUAAUGUUCUAAAGUACUUUGGGACACAUUUCUUUUACGCCUAGAAGAAAAUCUCCGCCUAAUACAGCAUUAACGACAGUGCAUCGCAGGUAAACAAACAGCACAACAAAACAAUCAACGUAACAACACGUCUCUGAAAGCCGCCGAGGCCUCCCGUCCCUUCGUAUUCAAAUCCGCUGUGCUUCUAUAGGAACAGAUGUGCACCUUUUAAAAUUUGGGUAUCUGUGAUUUCUGCGCUUAAUUGCACAUAAAAGGUCAUCAGGCUUUUACAAAAGGCGCGGGGAGAACACAGGUUGUCACACAGCGGUGACACAAAGCAGUCCCUUAAAAAGAGCUUCAAAGCUGUCCAUUGGCACCCAGUGUCCAAUCCACCACAGGCAUUGUGGGUAUUCCCGGGGGCUAAUGCCUCACAUGAGCCACCUGUCACAUGAAAUGAAGUGUGCAGGACCAGACUCCAGUAAUAGUACACUUCUGGAAUGUUCUCUUUGUCACACUAGAUCACUUUUUGGGGACAUUUUUCCAGGACCAAUUCGGUUGGGCAGUAUAUAGCUGGUUGUACAAAUAAAAAUAACAGAUUUUUGUGGACAGAUUGGCAAUAGUCUUUAGUGGAGUUCUUAGUUUGUUUGAUAGUUUUCCUUCUGAUUUCCUUUAAUAUCCCAGGGUUUUUCAGGCGUUAACUCCAGUCUGUGGGAUUAGGCCAGCAAAUUUGCCUGAUCAAACCGAGGGCAAAUCCACAGCAUGCCUUCGCUAGUCCUGCAGAUUUAUGGCUGCAUGUCUCCUUUUUGGCGUAUAAUUCGGACAGGACACUGUAAGUCCCGAAAAACCGACGUUAUACAUUAACGUCAUGGAGCAAGAAUGAUUGUGGAAAAGGAUACAGAAGUAACAUAGCCUUCAUUGUUUCAAAAUCCUGUAAAAUGACAUGGACAGCGAGCCUCUAAGCCAAUGUCUUCGUACGGCUCUUUUUCUAUUUAAAAUUGCCCUUCUCCCGCUUUUUUUUCGCCUCCCGGAUAGCGCUGCGUGUAUGAGAUUAUGCUUGGUUUUA
Long non-coding RNA from Paramormyrops kingsleyae, 3526 nucleotides. RefSeq lists it as uncharacterized. NCBI's taxonomy places the organism in Eukaryota, Metazoa, Chordata, Actinopteri, Osteoglossiformes, Mormyridae. The record is from RefSeq and is a predicted model, not a curated record.